CAGUCGAACGACUUCCGUUAUUGAUUAUGACGUACUUGUACUGAUUGAGAUUUUAACACGAAGUGAGUGGCGAACGGGUGAGUAACACGUGGGUAACCUGCCCAGAAGUAGGGGAUAACACCUGGAAACAGAUGCUAAUACCGUAUAACAGAGAAAACCGCAUGGUUUUCUUUUAAAAGAUGGCUCUGCUAUCACUUCUGGAUGGACCCGCGGCGUAUUAGCUAGUUGGUGAGGUAAAGGCUCACCAAGGCAGUGAUACGUAGCCGACCUGAGAGGGUAAUCGGCCACAUUGGGACUGAGACACGGCCCAGACUCCUACGGGAGGCAGCAGUAGGGAAUCUUCCACAAUGGACGCAAGUCUGAUGGAGCAACGCCGCGUGAGUGAAGAAGGGUUUCGGCUCGUAAAGCUCUGUUGUUAAAGAAGAACGUGGGUAAGAGUAACUGUUUACCCAGUGACGGUAUUUAACCAGAAAGCCACGGCUAACUACGUGCCAGCAGCCGCGGUAAUACGUAGGUGGCAAGCGUUAUCCGGAUUUAUUGGGCGUAAAGCGAGCGCAGGCGGUCUUUUAAGUCUAAUGUGAAAGCCUUCGGCUCAACCGAAGAAGUGCAUUGGAAACUGGGAGACUUGAGUGCAGAAGAGGACAGUGGAACUCCAUGUGUAGCGGUGAAAUGCGUAGAUAUAUGGAAGAACACCAGUGGCGAAGGCGGCUGUCUGGUCUGCAACUGACGCUGAGGCUCGAAAGCAUGGGUAGCGAACAGGAUUAGAUACCCUGGUAGUCCAUGCCGUAAACGAUGAUUACUAAGUGUUGGAGGGUUUCCGCCCUUCAGUGCUGCAGCUAACGCAUUAAGUAAUCCGCCUGGGGAGUACGACCGCAAGGUUGAAACUCAAAAGAAUUGACGGGGGCCCGCACAAGCGGUGGAGCAUGUGGUUUAAUUCGAAGCUACGCGAAGAACCUUACCAGGUCUUGACAUCUUCUGACAGUCUAAGAGAUUAGAGGUUCCCUUCGGGGACAGAAUGACAGGUGGUGCAUGGUUGUCGUCAGCUCGUGUCGUGAGAUGUUGGGUUAAGUCCCGCAACGAGCGCAACCCUUAUUACUAGUUGCCAGCAUUAAGUUGGGCACUCUAGUGAGACUGCCGGUGACAAACCGGAGGAAGGUGGGGACGACGUCAAAUCAUCAUGCCCCUUAUGACCUGGGCUACACACGUGCUACAAUGGAUGGUACAACGAGUCGCGAGACCGCGAGGUUAAGCUAAUCUCUUAAAACCAUUCUCAGUUCGGACUGUAGGCUGCAACUCGCCUACACGAAGUCGGAAUCGCUAGUAAUCGCGGAUCAGCAUGCCGCGGUGAAUACGUUCCCGGGCCUUGUACACACCGCCCGUCACACCAUGAGAGUU
This 1395-nucleotide ribosomal RNA is filed under the name Pediococcus pentosaceus. Its description in RNAcentral is "bacterial SSU rRNA". It matches the Rfam family "Bacterial small subunit ribosomal RNA", at positions 59 to 1412 of the family's 1533-position model. The record is from RNAcentral. Lineage: Bacteria; Bacillati; Bacillota; Bacilli; Lactobacillales; Lactobacillaceae.